RNAcentral lists this ribosomal RNA (405 nucleotides) under uncultured bacterium. RNAcentral describes it as "partial 16S ribosomal RNA". It matches the Rfam family "Bacterial small subunit ribosomal RNA", at positions 28 to 526 of the family's 1533-position model. The record is from RNAcentral.
GACGACCGCUGGCGGCGUGCUUAACACAUGCAAGUCGAGCGGAGCGGCGAACGGGUGAGUAACGAGUGAGUAAAUGCACACCUCUCUGGGCUAAAAGUUAGAAACGGCUGCAAAUACCGGAUAGUGGGGGGGGACUCGCGUCCUAUCAGCUUGUUGGUGGGGUAGUGGCCUACCAAGGCGCAGACUGGGAGCCGGCCUGAGAGGGCGACAGGCCAACUUGGUCUGAUAUACUGCCCGAACUCAGACGUGAGGCAGCAGUGGGGAAUAUUGCACAAUGGGGGAAACCCUUAUGCAGCAACGCCGCGUGCGGGAUGACGGCCUUCGGGUUGUAACCCGCCUUCAGCCAGGACGCGGUAGUUGCAGAAGAUGCACCGGCUAACUACGAGCCAGCAGCCGCGGUAAUUC